AUUGAACGCUGGCGGCAUGCCUUACACAUGCAAGUCGAACGGUAACGGGCCUUCGGGUGCCGACGAGUGGCGCACGGGUGAGUAAUACAUCGGAACGUGCCCGAUCGUGGGGGAUAACGAGGCGAAAGCUUUGCUAAUACCGCAUACGAUCUACGGAUGAAAGCCGGGGACCGGAAGGCCUUGCGCGGACGGAGCGGCCGAUGGCAGAUUAGGUAGUUGGUGGGAUAAAAGCUUACCAAGCCGACGAUCUGUAGCUGGUCUGAGAGGAUGAUCAGCCACACUGGGACUGAGACACGGCCCAGACUCCUACGGGAGGCAGCAGUGGGGAAUUUUGGACAAUGGGCGCAAGCCUGAUCCAGCCAUGCCGCGUGCAGGAUGAAGGCCUUCGGGUUGUAAACUGCUUUUGUACGGAACGAAAAGCCUUCUUUUAAUACAGGAGGGUCAUGACGGUACCGUAAGAAUAAGCACCGGCUAACUACGUG
Molecule: ribosomal RNA, 482 nt
Filed under: uncultured bacterium
Lineage: Bacteria
Description: partial 16S ribosomal RNA
Rfam family: Bacterial small subunit ribosomal RNA
Source: RNAcentral